CAGCACAGGAGAGCUUGCUCUCUGGGUGGCGAGUGGCGGACGGGUGAGGAAUACAUCGGAAUCUACUCUGUCGUGGGGGAUAACGUAGGGAAACUUACGCUAAUACCGCAUACGACCUACGGGUGAAAGCAGGGGACCUUCGGGCCUUGCGCGAUUGAAUGAGCCGAUGUCGGAUUAGCUAGUUGGCGGGGUAAAGGCCCACCAAGGCGACGAUCCGUAGCUGGUCUGAGAGGAUGAUCAGCCACACUGGAACUGAGACACGGUCCAGACUCCUACGGGAGGCAGCAGUGGGGAAUAUUGGACAAUGGGCGCAAGCCUGAUCCAGCCAUACCGCGUGGGUGAAGAAGGCCUUCGGGUUGUAAAGCCCUUUUGUUGGGAAAGAAAUCCAGCUGGCUAAUACCCGGUUGGGAUGACGGUACCCAAAGAAUAAGCACCGGCUAACUUCGUGCCAGCAGCCGCGGUAAUACGAAGGGUGCAAGCGUUACUCGGAAUUACUGGGCGUAAAGCGUGCGUAGGUGGUCGUUUAAGUCCGUUGUGAAAGCCCUGGUCUCAACCUGGGAACUGCAGUGGAUACUG
RNAcentral lists this ribosomal RNA (576 nucleotides) under Stenotrophomonas maltophilia. RNAcentral's name for it is "bacterial SSU rRNA". It matches the Rfam family "Bacterial small subunit ribosomal RNA", at positions 67 to 635 of the family's 1533-position model. The record is from RNAcentral. Lineage: Bacteria; Pseudomonadati; Pseudomonadota; Gammaproteobacteria; Lysobacterales; Lysobacteraceae.